Molecule: ribosomal RNA, 426 nt
Filed under: uncultured bacterium
Lineage: Bacteria
Description: partial 16S ribosomal RNA
Rfam family: Bacterial small subunit ribosomal RNA
Source: RNAcentral
GUUAGGAAUCUUCCACAAUGGGGGCAACCCUGAUGGAGCAACACCGCGUGCUGGAUGAAGGCCUUCGGGUCGUAAACAGCUUUUGUAUACGAAGAAUAUGACGGUAAUAUACGAAUAAGGGUCGGCUAACUACGUGCCAGCAGCCGCGGUCAUACGUAGGACCCAAGCGUUAUCCGGAGUGACUGGGCGUAAAGAGUUGAGUAGGCGGCUUAUUAAGCGAGUAGUGAAAUCUGGAGGCUCAACCAUCAACACAUUGCUCGAACUGAUAGGCUUGAGAAUGGUAGAGGUAGUUGGAAUUUCUUGUGUAGGAGUGAAAUCCGUAGAUAUAAGAAGGAACACCAAUGGCGUAGGCAGACUACUGGACCAUUUCUGACGCUGAGGCACGAAAGCGUGGGGAGCGAACCGGAUUAGAAACCCCAGUAGUCC